UGGGCAACCUGCCCCUCUCUCUGGGAUAACCCCGGGAAACCGGAGCUAAUACCGGAUACUCCGGCUGGAUCGCAUGGUCCGGCUGGGAAAGGUCCGCCGGAGAGGGAUGGGCCCGCGGCCUAUCAGCUUGUUGGUGGGGUAACGGCUCACCAAGGCGACGACGGGUAGCUGGUCUGAGAGGAUGGCCAGCCACAUUGGGACUGAGACACGGCCCAGACUUCUACGGGAGGCA
RNAcentral lists this ribosomal RNA (232 nucleotides) under uncultured bacterium. RNAcentral's name for it is "partial 16S ribosomal RNA". It matches the Rfam family "Bacterial small subunit ribosomal RNA", at positions 118 to 350 of the family's 1533-position model. The record is from RNAcentral.